Molecule: ribosomal RNA, 284 nt
Filed under: Halalaimus sp. 19L14G15
Lineage: Eukaryota; Metazoa; Nematoda; Enoplea; Enoplida; Oxystominidae
Description: partial 18S ribosomal RNA
Rfam family: Eukaryotic small subunit ribosomal RNA
Source: RNAcentral
CUUGUCUCAAAGAUUAAGCCAUGCAUGUAUAAGUACAAGCCGCAAAUGGGAAACCGCGAAUAGCUCAUUACAACAGUCGUAGUUUCUUAGAGCUUAAUUCUAUGGAUAACUGUGGUAAUUCUAGAGCUAAUACAUGUCACAAAACCCUGACUUACGAAAGGGUGCAUUUAUUAGAACAAAGCCAAUCAGACUUCGGUCUGUCUCAGGUUGACUCUGAAUAACUUAGCUAAUCGCAUGGUCUUUGUACCGGCGAUGUAUCUUUCAAAUGUCUGCCUUAUCAACUG